Molecule: ribosomal RNA, 722 nt
Filed under: uncultured bacterium
Lineage: Bacteria
Description: bacterial SSU rRNA
Rfam family: Bacterial small subunit ribosomal RNA
Source: RNAcentral
CGGCAAACGGGUGCGGAACACGUACACAACCUUCCGAUAAGUGGGGAAUAGCCCAGAGAAAUUUGGAUUAAUACCCCGUAACAUAUAGAGUAGGCAUCUUCUUUAUAUUAUAGCUUCGGCGCUUAUUGAUGGGUGUGCGUCUGAUUAGGUAGUUGGCGGGGUAACGGCCCACCAAGCCUACGAUCAGUAGCUGAUGUGAGAGCAUGAUCAGCCACACGGGCACUGAGACACGGGCCCGACUCCUACGGGAGGCAGCAGUAAGGAAUAUUGGACAAUGGGCGAAAGCCUGAUCCAGCCAUGCCGCGUGAAGGAUUAAGGUCCUCGGAUUGUAAACUUCUUUUAUUUGGGACGAAAAAAGGGAAUUCUUUCCCACUUGACGGUACCAAGUGAAUAAGCACCGGCUAACUCCGUGCCAGCAGCCGCGGUAAUACGGAGGGUGCAAGCGUUAUCCGGAUUCACUGGGUUUAAAGGGUGCGUAGGCGGGUAUGUAAGUCAGUGGUGAAAUCUCGGAGCUUAACUCCGAAACUGCCAUUGAUACUAUAUAUCUUGAAUAUUGUGGAGGUUUGCGGAAUAUGUCAUGUAGCGGUGAAAUGCUUAGAUAUGACAUAGAACACCUAUUGCGAAGGCAGCAGGCUACACAUAUAUUGACGCUGAGGCACGAAAGCGUGGGGAUCAAACAGGAUUAGAUACCCUGGUAGUCCACGCCCUAAACGAUGGAUACU